ACGCUCGACACCUACGGGCAGCAGUGGGGAAUAUUGCACAAUGGGGGAAACCCUGAUGCAGCGACGCCGCGUGGAGGAAGAAGGUCUUCGGAUUGUAAACUCCUGUUGUUGGGGAAAAAGAGGAUGGUACCCAACAAGGAAGUGACGGCUAACUACGUGCCANNCGCGUAAGCGUANGNGGCGNGGCAGGCAG
RNAcentral lists this ribosomal RNA (193 nucleotides) under uncultured bacterium. RNAcentral's name for it is "partial 16S ribosomal RNA". It matches the Rfam family "Bacterial small subunit ribosomal RNA", at positions 326 to 538 of the family's 1533-position model. The record is from RNAcentral.